GCAAGGAAUCUUCCGCAAUGGGCGAUGAGCCUGACGGAGCAACGCCGCGUGGGGGAUGAGGCCCUUCGGGGUGUAAACCCCUUUUCUGUGGGAAGAAGAUCUGACGGUACCACAGGAAGAAGGACCGGCUAACUACGUGCCAGCAGCCGCGGUAAUACGUAGGGUCCGAGCGUUGUCCGGAGUUACUGGGCGUAAAGCGCGCGCAGGCGGCGGUGUUGGCCCGGCGUGAAAGCCCCCGGCUCAACCGGGGAGAGUCGUCGGGGACCGCACCGCUUGAGGGCGGUAGGGGCUGGUGGAAUGCCUGGUGUAGUGGUGAAAUGCGUAGAGAUCAGGCAGAACACCUGGGGCGAAGGCGGCCAGCUGGGCCGUCCCUGACGCUGAGGCGCGAAGGCGUGGGGAGCGAACGGGAUUAGAUACCCGUGUAGUCC
Molecule: ribosomal RNA, 428 nt
Filed under: uncultured bacterium
Lineage: Bacteria
Description: bacterial SSU rRNA
Rfam family: Bacterial small subunit ribosomal RNA
Source: RNAcentral